AUUGAACGCUGGCGGCAGGCCUAACACAUGCAAGUCGAGCGGAGCGGCAGACGGGUGAGUAAUGCCUAGGAAUCUGCCUGGUAGUGGGGGAUAACGUCCGGAAACGGGCGCUAAUACCGCAUACUAUCGGAUGACCCUAGGGCGGAUUAGCUAGGGGGUGGGGGAAAGGCCUACAAAGGCGACGAUCCGUAACUGGUCUGAGGGGAUGAUCAGUCAAACGGGAAAUGAGACACGGUCCAGACUCCUACGGGAGGCAGCAGUGGGGAAUAUUGGACAAUGGGGGAAAGCCUGAUCCAGCCAGGCCGGGUGUGGGAAGAAGGUCUUCGGAGUGGAAAGCACUUUAAGUUGGGAGGCGUUACCAACAGAAUAAGCACCGGCUAACUUCGUGCCAGCAGCCGCGGUAAUAC
RNAcentral lists this ribosomal RNA (407 nucleotides) under uncultured bacterium. Its description in RNAcentral is "partial 16S ribosomal RNA". It matches the Rfam family "Bacterial small subunit ribosomal RNA", at positions 29 to 526 of the family's 1533-position model. The record is from RNAcentral.